AGUGAACGCUGGCGGUAGGCCUAACACAUGCAAGUCGAACGGCAGCACAGUAAGAGCUUGCUCUUACGGGUGGCGAGUGGCGGACGGGUGAGGAAUACAUCGGAAUCUACUUUUUCGUGGGGGAUAACGUAGGGAAACUUACGCUAAUACCGCAUACGACCUACGGGUGAAAGCAGGGGAUCUUCGGACCUUGCGCGAUUGAAUGAUCCGAUGUCGGAUUAGCUAGUUGGCGGGGUAAAGGCCCACCAAGGCGACGAUCCGUAGCUGGUCUGAGAGGAUGAUCAGCCACACUGGAACUGAGACACGGUCCAGACUCCUACGGGAGGCAGCAGUGGGGAAUAUUGGACAAUGGGCGCAAGCCUGAUCCAGCCAUACCGCGUGGGUGAAGAAGGCCUUCGGGUUGUAAAGCCCUUUUGUUGGGAAAGAAAAGCAGCAGGUUAAUACCCCGCUGUUCUGACGGUACCCAAAGAAUAAGCACCGGCUAACUUCGUG
RNAcentral lists this ribosomal RNA (492 nucleotides) under uncultured bacterium. RNAcentral's name for it is "partial 16S ribosomal RNA". It matches the Rfam family "Bacterial small subunit ribosomal RNA", at positions 29 to 507 of the family's 1533-position model. The record is from RNAcentral.